This 200-nucleotide unclassified non-coding RNA is filed under the name Helotiales sp. Its description in RNAcentral is "partial internal transcribed spacer 2". Lineage: Eukaryota; Fungi; Ascomycota; Leotiomycetes; Helotiales. The record is from RNAcentral.
UUAAGUUCAGCGGGUAUCCCUACCUGAUCCGAGGUCAACCAUAGAAAGUUAGGGGUUGCUGGCCAGCGGCCACCGGGGCCCAACAGCGAGAAGAAUUACUACGCUGAGGAACACGAUGGCGCCGCCACUGUUUUUGAGGCCCGCCGUUGCCGACGCGGCCCAAGACAAGCAGAGCUUGAAGGUACAAAUGACGCUCGAAC